Oncorhynchus nerka (sockeye salmon) is the source of this 2019-nucleotide long non-coding RNA. RefSeq lists it as uncharacterized. The transcript has 2 exons. The record is from RefSeq and is a predicted model, not a curated record. NCBI's taxonomy places the organism in Eukaryota, Metazoa, Chordata, Actinopteri, Salmoniformes, Salmonidae.
GACGGAGCCGUGUUUUUGGCCCAAAAGCGAACGGCCCAGCGAGCAGACUUGUGUCCGUUCAGAAUAAAGUCAUGUGGGCUGCAGAAGCCCCGUGCAUUUUGCUGCGACUCGCUCAAAACCUCACCGUUCGACUGUCGGGUGGAGCGGUGCGCACUGCUUUUCCUGUGCUAUUUGUCUCCUAAAUGGCCUAAAAGUGCAUCCGAUUGCGAGCACCAUUGAUUGUGGGGUGAGCCGAGAUGUCUGGCAAGGGAGUCAAAUGGUUUGGCGUCCCCUGAUGUGCUCCUUGGUGUUUUAAAGGAGAGCUCUUUUGGGGACCUUAAAACACAUGCACUUGUGAGGCCUGGCUGAGACUAGUUUCACGUUGUAUUCGUCAUGUGUCCAGGAGGCACAGGAAAUAAUACACUGUCCAACGACAUGCUUACUUGCACUGUGUGUGUGUGUGAUGUUUUAUUAGUCCUUUAGUUGGAUUUGGAGCCUGCUCUUUGUGCACAAUGUCUCUCUCUCUAUCUGUGUGUGUCUCUUUCAAAAGCGUGUCAUCCAGAUGAGGUGAGCUCACCUUGUCGCUUGACUCCUCCGCAGCGUGACUCGUGCCGGUCUUUGUGUCUGUGGGUCUUGGUGUCUGGCUGUGCGGCCGGCGCUAUGGAGGCUGGCGCCCCAUGUGCUUGUUUGCCCUGAUAUAGGCCUAGAGAGAGCGAUUUGGAGGCUCUCCUCCUCCUCCCCCCUCUUGUACAGGUGGAAGGGCUAGUUUCAAUCGGUGACGUCACUUGCUCAGAGACUAUCUGUUAUUUUAUUGCUGCAACAUAAUUAUUUGUGAUAUUUCUAUAUAUUUUUAGUUUCGCAUUGUUGGUUAAGGGCUUGUACAGUAAGUAAGCAUUUCACUGUAUGGUCUACUACACCUUUUGUAUUCGGCGCAUGUUACAAAUAAAAUUAGAUUUGAUUGCUGUGCUUAUAAAUGGGAAAAAAAUUGCCAAAUAGUUCAUCAACAUUUUAAGCUAAAUGAUCAGGCUCAUUGCUUUUAAAAGGUUUUUGAUGCAAGUGGUUGUAUUAAUUUGGGAUCAAUUGCAUCCCACAACUGUCCCAGAGUAUGUUUGGAAUAUUUAUUUUUUUGCACAAAAGGACAAGUUGACCAAUGGAAUAGGUCAACUUUUGUACUAUGGGAGGUAGUAGAUUGACAUAGGCUAGUGCUUUUGCUGUUCGUUUGGCCUACUCAUCUUGCUGGUAGACGAAAAGUAGCCUAAAUGUGGGACAGUUCUAACAUCUUAAAUAUGUGCACAGUUACGUCCCCGAUGUCUGUCUUCAUUCACUUGUAGCCUACUUCUUAGCUGAAAUGCCUGUGAGAAGGACCCUAUCACUUGAAGGGCAUUUGCUACAUCUGAGAGAGCCAUGCUGAGUGAGAGGUGCUUCGGAGCAUGGCAGCCGGGAGAAGGGAAUUAUAAUUAGCCUAUUAUAUUCAGGCCAAGCUGCCACUUUGGCCGCAAAAGGCAAGGAUUUUUUAAAUGUUUACUGACACCAACCAUAUUCAACGGGUGUUGAGCGUUUGUAAAUUCAUCGGUUAUUCUGCGCUCUUGCACAAUCAGAUGAGAGUGCUCUAAAAUCGGAGUAGAUAGCCAGAGUGAAUCUACGAAUGCAACCUAUUGACUUGAUUAUUCACGUCAUUCUAGCUUAGUGUCACGACUUCUGCCGAAGUCGUUGCCUCUCCUUGUUCGGGCGGUGCUCGGCAUUCGACGUCACCGGUCUUCUAGCCAUCAUUGAUCCACUUUUCAUUUUCCAUUGGUUUUGUCUUGUCUUCCCACACACCUGUUUUCAAUCCCAUUCAUUACCUGUUGUGUAUUUAACCCUCUGUUUCCCCUCAUGUCUUUGUCAGAGAUUGUUUAAUUGUCAGUGUUGUUAUUUUGUUGUGUUGGUGCGCGACGGGUCCUCGUACCCAUGUUUUUUCAUGUCUGUACGUUUUAGUGUUAUGGAGCAUGUUCUGUUGACAUUUAUUAAAAGACUCCAUUUACACUUCAUUUUGACUCCUGC